This 354-nucleotide ribosomal RNA is filed under the name uncultured bacterium. RNAcentral's name for it is "bacterial SSU rRNA". It matches the Rfam family "Bacterial small subunit ribosomal RNA", at positions 8 to 350 of the family's 1533-position model. The record is from RNAcentral.
AGAGUUUGAUCCUGGCUCAGGAUGAACGCUAGCUACAGGCUUAACACAUGCAAGUCGAGGGGAAACGGACAUCGAAAGCUUGCUUUUGAUGGGCGUCGACCGGCGCACGGGUGAGUAACGCGUAUCCAACCUGCCCACCACUUGGGGAUAGCCUUGCGAAAGUAAGACUAAUACCCAAUGAUAUCUCUAGAAGACAUCUGAAAGAGAUUAAAGAUUUAUCGGUGAUGGAUGGGGCUGCGUCUGAUUAGCUUGUUGGCGGGGUAACGGCCCACCAAGGCUACGAUCAGUAGGGGUUCUGAGAGGAAGGUCCCCCACAUUGGAACUGAGACACGGUCCAAACUCCUACGGGAGGCA